GCUGCAGACAGUGCUCCAUAUGCAAGUAUGUGCUGAAGCACUUCAUCCUACCUCGUUUAAACUCCUCUGUCCUGUGAGGAAGGUACUCAUCCUGCUUUUUCCGAUAAAAUCCUAAGAAUCAGAAGGGCACAUAGAAAGAUGGAAUCAGGAUUCCAACAUGAUGUAAAGAUUCACAGGUUUGAUGUGUUAUCUCUUGAAUUUGCUGUUCAUUCUGAUUUCACACAUUGUUUUGGACAACUGUGUUGCUCAGUGUAUUUACAUCAGACACCAGGGUAAGUGGUGUGAUACAAAAGUGACUGGAACAGCUUGCGAAGGAAUUCAAAGGUGAAUAUGGAGUCUAGGCCCUUGGUGAGCUCAGUCACAUGCAAGCCAGAGACUAAAAGGUAGGGUAACAGUGUAAUCUAUGAUCCUAACCAGGGUACAUCUGAUUGUAAAGGGGGCACCAUUAAUGCUCAAGCAGGCGACUUUCCAGAGAAAAGUAGGACUUAAGGUCACUAUAGCUAGAGGAAAUCCCAGGGUAUGUGGGGAGUACAGAUGGGAGGGCCUUAACCAACUAGAAGAGGUGCCCUCUAGUUGGGUGCAGAUAAUGUGGCAUGUCGUUACCCUCAUACUCACUGCUCACUCUUUACCCCUUGGCUUAGAUGUUACUUCCUCUGCAGGCCUCCCCAUCCCUGGAAUCUGGAUCAUAACCCUUACACAUGCUUUCAGGUUUGCCAAGUCUUCCCCUGGUUGUAUGAGUCCUGUGAGAAGCUUUAUGGUUCUGAUGAGGCCCCCAGUUUGAAGCUCAGUAGUAUACCACAUUGCAUGCAGGAGGUUAAAGGGGUGGGCUACAGGUUUUUCAGAAACGUAUAAAAGCAAUAGCUGUUCCCCAAGCAUUAUUAAGUUAAUGAAUAAUUUUGGUAUAUAAAACUAAGCCGGAUUCACCACCAUCAUUGUCAAUAUAAACCCAGCUGGAAUAGGUUUAAAGCCACUGAGAAACUGAUAUUUGCUACGAAUAGAUGGACCUUUGAAAAUGGUACCAACUAUAGGACUCAUGACCCCAGAUGUUUUCACGUUAUUCUCUCAUUUCCUUUUCAGUGAAAAUGUGGCUGUUGUUUUCCUGGCAUUAGAAGUACACCACAUAAUGUGUGAUUUAUUUUCCCCCAAUAAACAGUGAUGAUAAUUAAGAUAUUAAGUAUGCUAUUUCAAGUUUUCACGGCACCUGGUGAACAUGUAAUACUUCUUCCUCAUACCUGUAUUAUAC
RNAcentral lists this long non-coding RNA (1243 nucleotides) under Marmota monax (woodchuck). Lineage: Eukaryota; Metazoa; Chordata; Mammalia; Rodentia; Sciuridae. The record is from RNAcentral.